UGCCCCAGUAACGGCGAGUGAAGCGGCAACAGCUCAAAUUUGAAAUCUGGCUCUCGGGCCCGAGUUGUAAUUUGUAGAGGAUGCUUUUGGUGAGGUGCCUUCCGAGUUCCCUGGAACGGGACGCCAUAGAGGGUGAGAGCCCCGUCUGGUUGGACGCCGAACCUCUGUAAAGCUCCUUCGACGAGUCGAGUAGUUUGGGAAUGCUGCUCUAAAUGGGAGGUAUAUGUCUUCUAAAGCUAAAUACCGGCCAGAGACCGAUAGCGCACAAGUAGAGUGAUCGAAAGAUGAAAAGAACUUUGAAAAGAGAGUUAAACAGUACGUGAAAUUGUUGAAAGGGAAGCGCUUGUGACCAGACUUGGGCUUGGUUGAUCAUCCGGGGUUCUCCCCGGUGCACUCUUCCGGCCCAGGCCAGCAUCAGUUCGCCCUGGGGGACAAAGGCUUCGGGAACGUGGCUCUCUCCGGGGAGUGUUAUAGCCCGUUGCGUAAUACCCUGUGGCGGACUGAGGUUCGCGCAUUCGCAAGGAUGCUGGCGUAAUGGUCAUCAGUGACCCGUCUUGAAACACGGACCAAGGAGUCGUCUUCGUAUGCGAGUGUUCGGGUGUCACACCCCUACGCGAAAUGAAAGUGAACGCAGGUGAGAGCUUCGGCGCAUCAUCGACCGAUCCUGAUGUUAUCGGAUGGAUUUGAGUAAGAGCAUACGGGGCCGGACCCGAAAGAAGGUGAACUAUGCCUGUGUAGGGUGAAGCCAGAGGAAACUCUGGUGGAGGCUCGCAGCGGUUCUGACGUGCAAAUCGAUCGUCAAACAUGGGCAUGGGGGCGAAAGAC
This 825-nucleotide ribosomal RNA is filed under the name Fusarium solani. Its description in RNAcentral is "partial large subunit ribosomal RNA". It matches the Rfam family "Eukaryotic large subunit ribosomal RNA", at positions 76 to 931 of the family's 3401-position model. Lineage: Eukaryota; Fungi; Ascomycota; Sordariomycetes; Hypocreales; Nectriaceae. The record is from RNAcentral.